AGUGCCGUUGAUACUGUAGGGCUAGGAUUUGGUUGCUGUGGGUGGAAUGUGUGGUGUAGCGGUGAAAUGCUUAGAUAUCACACAGAAUAUCGAUUGCGAAGGCAGCUCACAAAGCCAAGAUUGACGCUGAGGCACGAAAGUGUGGGGAUCAAACAGGAUUAGAUACCCUGGUAGUCCACACUGUAAACGAUGAUAACUCGCUGCCGGCGAUACACAGUCGGUGGCCAAGCGAAAGCGAUAAGUUAUCCACCUGGGGAGUACGACCGCAAGGUUGAAACUCAAAGGAAUUGACGGGGGCCCGCACAAGCGGAGGAACAUGUGGUUUAAUUCGAUGAUACGCGAGGAACCUUACCUGGGCUUAAAUGUAGAGUGCAUUAGGUGGAAACACUUAUUCCCUUCGGGGCUCUUUACAAGGUGCUGCAUGGUUGUCGUCAGCUCGUGCCGUGAGGUGUCGGGUUAAGUCCCAUAACGAGCGCAACCCCUAUCGUUAGUUGCCAGCGGGUAAAGCCGGGGACUCUAGCGAAACUGCCGGUGUAAACCGAGAGGAAGGUGGGGAUGACGUCAAAUCAGCACGGCCCUUAUGUCCAGGGCUACACACGUGUUACAAUGGCCAGUACAGUGGGCAGCUACCAUGUAAAUGGAUGCUAAUCUCCAAAGCUGGUCUCAGUUCGGAUUGGGGUCUGCAACUCGA
This 691-nucleotide ribosomal RNA is filed under the name uncultured bacterium. RNAcentral describes it as "bacterial SSU rRNA". It matches the Rfam family "Bacterial small subunit ribosomal RNA", at positions 620 to 1315 of the family's 1533-position model. The record is from RNAcentral.